RNAcentral lists this ribosomal RNA (487 nucleotides) under uncultured bacterium. RNAcentral describes it as "bacterial SSU rRNA". It matches the Rfam family "Bacterial small subunit ribosomal RNA", at positions 9 to 507 of the family's 1533-position model. The record is from RNAcentral.
CGAGUUUGAUCAUGGCUCAGAAUCAACGCUGGCGGCGUGCCUCAGACAUGCAAGUCGAACGAUUAAAGCUCUCUUCGGAGAGUGCAUAGAGUGGCGCACGGGUGAGUAACACGUAAGUAAUCUACCUUCGAGUGGGGAAUAACGUCCGGAAACGGGCGCUAAUACCGCAUAAUGCAGCGGCAUCGCAAGAUGACAGUUGUUAAAGGAGCAAUCCGCUUGAAGAGGAGCUUGCGGCAGAUUAGCUAGUUGGUAGGGUAAUGGCCUACCAAGGCUACGAUCUGUAACCGGUCUUAGAGGACGGUCGGUCACACUGACACUGAAUAACGGGUCAGACUCCUACGGGAGGCAGCAGUCGGGAAUUUUGGGCAAUGGGGGAAACCCUGACCCAGCAACGCCGCGUGAAGGAUGAAGUAUUUCGGUAUGUAAACUUCGAAAGAAUAGGAAGAAUUAAUGACGGUACUAUUUAUAAGGUCCGGCUAACUACGUG